Podarcis lilfordi (Lilford's wall lizard) is the source of this 75-nucleotide non-coding RNA. The record is from the annotation of a GenBank genome assembly. NCBI's taxonomy places the organism in Eukaryota, Metazoa, Chordata, Lepidosauria, Squamata, Lacertidae.
GGAACAGCCGCAGGUUAGUGGUAAGGCAUCUCCCUUGCAUGCAGAUGACCCCAGGUUCAAUCUCUGGUGUCUCUA